GAGUCUGGUGUUCAUGUAAGAGUCUGGGGUACCUGUAAGAGGUACAUGUAAGAGUCUGGGGUACCUGUAAGAGGUACAUGUAAGAGUCUGGGGUACCUGUAAGAGUUACAUGUAAGAGUCUGGGGUACCUGUACGUUAUAUGUGUAUGAUUCUGAAGUACCUUUAAGCAUUUUGUGAUAGAUUAUACAGAUUGCCAAUGAGAUGUACAUGUGUGAUAUGAUUGGCGGGCUUGCCUUUGACACCAGUGAGUGCUAGGUAUGGGUAACUAUAGGGCAAAGAUUCAUUUAGUCUGAGACUUCCUACAUAUUCACAACAACAGAGGACUACAUAUUUCAAUAAUUACAUUGUACUUUCGAUUUACAUAUACAUUUUGUAGGUAAUAUUAAGCAUUGUGUAGUCUUGAGAGUGGAACACUGAUGACAUUUUUUUUUACAACCGGAGCGAUAACAUUUUUCUGAUUAUCAAAAAAAACUGUUUCAUUGUGUCCUCUGAGUAUCCAUGAUCAACUACAAGUGUAUCAACUGAUCAUUAAACAAUUUAAACUUGUAUAAUGUUAUCAACUGCCAUUAGAUCAUAUGACUAGAACUUUUUACUUGUAUCUGUGUGAUGUAAUUUGUAGGUAGUACAAUAUAUAUAUUUACACUGUGGUGUAACUGCGAUGAUCAUUGAUUUAAGUUGAAAUGCCCGGUAGUAAUUAGUUAAUGCACCUGUAAAUUGGUGGUGAACGAUAUCCACAUCCCAAAGCUAGUCAGUAGUUUUUAUUGAAGUUCAUAGCUUAUAUGUAGAAGCAACAUUAUACAUGUGUAGGAAAUUUGGCAUUCUCUGCUAUCUUGAUCGGUCCUAAUACCAAUGCUAUGCUUGAAGUUUGAUAUCAUAAUAAAGGUCAGUUACCACAAAGGUCGGUUACCACAAAGGUCGGUUACCACCAGGGUCGGUUACCACAAAGGUCGACGGUUACCACAAAGGUCGACAGUUAAUACAAAGGUCAACGGUUACCACAAAGGUUGGUUACCACAAAGUUUGGUUACUACAAAGGUCGGUUACUACAAAGGUCGGUAAUUACCUCAAAGGUCGAGGGUUACCAGAAAGGUCAACAGUUACCACAAAGGUUGACAGUUACCACAAAGGUCGACCGUUACCACAUACAUAUAGAUAUCUAGUAAGUACUGUGAUAGGAUAUAAAAUCUGCUGAAUACUUAAUAUAUAUGUUUAUUUAUUUGUGCUAACAGUUGUUCAACAGCUAUCUGAAAUACCACAUUACAUUCCGUCCAGAUAUAUAAAAUUUGAUAUCCGUCCAUGAAUUUUUUAUUUUUUUUUAACUGUUAACCUUAUUUGUUAAUGUAGGUGUUUUUUAAAAAUAUGGCUAUUCCAGUAUUAUCUGUGUUAUUUGAAUAUUAUUAAUAUUAUAAUUUAUUUAGUGUUCGGUUCCAGCUUGAUUGACUAAUGCUGGAAUUACUCAUACAUACUCAUCUUUCUUUGGUUAUAACACCUUGAUACGACUUAUAAGGCUGUUCUGCCGGAUCUGAAGGUUUUGUAAAGCUGCUGUCAUUCCCUCCGUAAAUAUGACCUUGAUUUUCAUUUGGUUGGUUCAGUUAAAAGUGUUAAUAUUUAUUCAUAAUAAGUAAAAUUUCCCUUUUAAGAUUAAAUGUGAUACAAUGUAUGUUAUGAAACAAUAUGUUAACAGUAAAUAGUAAGAAUGCUGCUUAUCCAAGCCUUCUAUUAUCCAAACUUUCUCCAUUUUUCUGGCCUACAUAAUGUUUUCCUGUUACGAAAUCAUAUCUCCGAUCAUUUGCAUAAUCAUAUUCAGUAUCACAGAAGCAGUUUGGAAAUGCAGCAUUCUGCAUAUAUUGUUAGUAAUAACGGUGAUUGCAUUAAUUAUAAUAAACUUGAUUUAUUUUAAAACAAUUGAGAAACAAUACAUGUAUUCAUUGGUAUUUGUACUCUGAAGAGAUGUUAUUGGUGUGUUGUUUGUUGUUGAUUUUGGGGGAGGGCUAAGAGUGACAUUUACAGGUGUGUUAUGAGAACCAGUAUUAAUACGAGGAAGAAAGGUGACCGAGUGUUUGAUCUGUGCUUCAAUUAGAAGACAUUUCAGGAGUGCAUGUAUGUACUUGGAAAGUAAGGAGAUAUGUUUUGAAUCACUGUAGUUAAUUAUGUGUAAUAACUUUGUAUAGAUAGGAAAAUUAAUCUUAAGUUAAUUGUCAUUUCUUUGCACCUUUGUUUUUGGGGUUUUCUUUUUCGUUGACCUAUUUUUACCAUGUUUACCUGUGACGGUGUUCUUUAGGAGGGGCCAUGAUUGAUAUCUCGGUACUUCGUUUAACAAAACAAUCAACUUUGAUGGACUGUUUUCGUGUUGCUUUUCCAUUCAGUCUGUAUAAACAUACUGCAUAUUUAAGCUGGUGAAGUAACCAUGCAUGGAAUUAAUGCCUGUGUUUUUCAUUUAAAGAUGAUCAGUCUCCUCCGUGUGUUAAGUCAAUCAGAACAGUUCACACUUCCUGAUCUGUUCUUCCUUUACAUUACACCUUUAGGAUUUGCUUACUUGCUUGUGUUUUCGUACUUAGUUUUUAAUAUGUGUAAUGCUCAAAAUUACACUGCUGUAUAAAAAAAUCAUUCUGCGAUUGUUGUGUUCCCUAUCAGCUCACACUAUGUAGGUCAGUGAUGUUGGGGAAAUCUCCAUACCCAUAUAUUUCCACAUUUCAAUUCUAGAUAUUUUUAUGUUAUGUAUUUUUAUAAUGCAGGAGAGGCACAUAUACAGUUUUAUGAUAAAGAAUUAAAUUAAGUAAUAUGUUUAUUUGAAGUAAAAGCUUACCAAAAAAGAAAUAUUAAUAUGUUUAUUUUAUCUUAAAUUCUGAACUUAUAGACUUUAUACUAAAAAGGUGUUAUUUUACAAAUUCAAUUUCUACGGAAUGAAACAUAAUUCCUUAACUUAGUUGUUCUAGCUAAAUUAUUAUUACAGUAUUAAAGAUGAUUCCCAUACUGUAUUUUGAAAAAAAAAAAAAAAAAAAAAUAUAUAACAUGCAAAUUUAUAAUGAAUCUAGAAAAAAAAGAUCACAUCCAAACCAGUGGUUUAAGAUAUACUUAAAUUGGGAAAUGAAAUACCACAGACUUAGAUAUGCAUGUAUGGAUAUAUAAAUCUAUGGAAAUACAAUAGUCAUAAUCAUAAAAAAUGGUUUAUUAUCUGCAUUUAUUUCUGUAUCUCUGGACCCUCCAUUUAAGGUGCAUCUUCAAAGUUUCAAAAGCAUCAGCUAAUUAAUUUCUUUAUAAUACUAGAUACAUGCAUACACAGAUGUGUUGCUGAGUCUGGAAUGUCAUUGUUACCUAGUAGUAUAUGUAUAAUGGUAUUGUCACAGUGUUGAAUUGGUGAUAUGUACGAUACUAUAAGUUAUUUAUUUUUUUACUGUUAUACCUGUGUGCUGUUUAUGUCAAUGUAAUUGUAGAUCUGUAUAACAGAUGAGAUUGUGUACAUCUGGAAAAUGAAAUCAACUAUCACAUAAUGUGCCCUAUAGGAAUUGUGUAGAUGUUCUUUAUACAGCAAGAGGUAUGCUGCCAUUUGAUGUAAUAUAUUCCACUAUUAUAAUAGGUUUUGGGGUUUAAGAAUAGUUUUCUCUCAGUGGCUGUUGUAUAGUUCUUCAGGGUUUUCUUGGACAAAACUCUACAUUGAAACCCUGAGGAGAGUAAAACUACUGUCCGCUGUAAGUGAACAUAACCCUUAUUAGGGAUAGUUUCAGUUUGCUGUCAGUGGACCUAACUCUACUGGGAAACCCUGAGGAGAGUAGAACUACUGUCCUCUGUAAGGGGAAAUAACUCUUCAAGGAAUCCCUGAGGAGAUUAACUGCUGUCCUCUGUAAGGGGACGUCACUGUUAGGGAUAACUUCAGUUUGUUAUCAGGGGACAUAAACCUACAGGGAAACUUUGAGUAGAGUAGAACUUCACUCCUCUGUCAGGGGUCAUAACUCUUAGGGAUAACUUCACUCCUCUGUCAGGGGACAUAACUCUUAGGGAUAACUUCAGUUCUCUGUCAGGGGUCAUAACUCUUAGGGAUAACUUCAGUCAUCUGUCAGGGGACAUAACUCUACAGGAAAACUCAGAGGAGAACUUGUUUUUUUUAAGUGGACAUAACUCUUGAUUAGAGUAAAAUUUGUCUUUCUUUGACUAUAAAAACCUUCAGAGUAAUGCUGUUACUUUUGUACAACUAUUAAUUACAAUCUUUUAUCAGGGGAUAUAACUCCACAAGCAUUCAAAACUCUAGUCUUCUGUCAGAUGAGAACUUUCUAUUGUCCUAAAUUUGGAUGGACUUAAUGAUCCAAUUUUAUUAUAUCUGUAGAGAUAUAUACCUUAAUUUAAUAAGGAACUAGGGGACUAAUGAAAAAAUUAUGAAAAGUACCUAGGUGACUAGUUUUAGUAGUAGAUACAAGGAGGCCUAUCUCUGUAUGGGAGUGUUGUUAGAUAUAUACACACAGAGAGCACGUUUGUCAGGAGGUGUACAAGCACCUGUAUACUGAUGACGUGUUACCAAUACAUCACUAGUAAACCACAAACUCUUUCUCAAUAUAUAUAGUCAUGGACAGUUAAAAGAAUGUCUGCUUUAUGGAAAUGAAUACACUUUUUUGUCCCAUGACCGUCCAAUAUAUGUUUUCCCUACAAUUUACCUACAGAUGCCCACUGGAACGUUAAUCACCAAACAAAGAUAGACCACAGCCAUUGUUUUACAUAUCUCAACAACAAACCUGUGGUUGUUAUAUUUACAUAAGAUGCUAACAUGGAGUAAAUUAAGUACGAUAUUGCUUAAAAAUGAUUUUUUUUUUAAAUUUUUUUUCAAACUUUCAAUUUGAGGAAUUUCAGUCGAUCUAUGUUGAAUGGAACCUGAAGAAAAUUUGUGAUAAGCUAUGUUUGAGACUGAGAUUAAAAUGGCUGUGUGGUACAAGACAUAAGCCUGAUAAGCUUAAGGUAGAUAAACUACAAGUAGCGCAAUCAUAAUUUAAUGGAAAUCUUCCAGCAAGAAAAAUCACUAAAAUAAGAUCACCGCUAAAAUAUGUACAUUUGCGGUACAAUUAAUUAGAUAAAAUUAGACAAUGUUAAUUGGGAGGGGGUAAUAAUUCUAUAAGAUACUACUAUGUAAAUGUCACCUUAGCAUUUAGGUAGAACAUCAAGUGUUUGCCUUUUUUAUCAGUUGAUCUUUCAUCUUUUUGUAACCUAGGUUGGUUCGAAUUUGCAUUUAGCUCCACUGUCCGAAUUGUAGAAGUCCAACAAUUUUAACGUGUGGAUACACUUUAGGAUUAACACUCUGUGAAAUCCAAAUUACUCUUGACAUAUGCUUUCUGGUUCAUACACCUUCAUUGGAUUGUAUGUUUAAUUCUUGGAAAUUUGGUCUUAAUUUUAAAGGCACAUUGUUUGUUUUUAUCAAAAAAUACUAAAUUUCUUUAAAAAUGAUUAUAAGCUCUAGAGAAUAUGCAACAUUGAUUAAGAGGUACCAGUUUGAUUAGGAAAUGGCUGUUAAAAACUUAAAAGUGUUACAGAAAAUUCUUUAAAAAAAAUGUUUUACUGUACAUUUUCUUUUUCUUUUGAUGAUUUAUUUGAGGUCAAUAAACUACUGUAUAGUUGUUAAAUUUCAUGGGGCAAAUAUUUCACGGUUGUCAUAGUCGUAUCUAUUUUGUGAUAUAAAAUUUUGCUUAUUUCUCCAGUAAACACUUUACAUUUGUUUGUAUAUUCAAAUAUUUGCUGGGUAUCUAUUUUCAAGCUCUUUUCUAUUACCUUGAAAAUAGUGAAAAUGAUUUCCCACGAAUAUUACACACUUUACGGUAUCUAACAUACAUGUAGAUAAACAUAAGAAAGGUGUAUAGUAAAUUAUAAAUGUUAAGAAGUUUGGGAUGAAGUAGAUAGAACAUAUUCUUAUGAUAGUAUUUGAUGUAAAUCUUGACAGAAUGAAACGCCAGGUACAGGUUUAUGACCAGUGCUAUUUGGCUUUAGAGAAAUUCUUUUCCUAGAGGUUAACCCUUUGAAAAUUGAUACGACACUUAAAACUGUAGUCUGUUGAGAUGGGUUCAGUCUGUGUUAAACACUGAUCAGAGGUCUACAACAACUCUAAUGGGAAGGGGCAUUGUGUGUUAUGAAUGUUGGGAGUACUUAAUGUUAACUUUAAAUGCACAAAAUGGAGAAUAAAAUAUAUAUAAACAAAAUAAAAUGUACAAAAACAAC
Molecule: long non-coding RNA, 6192 nt
Organism: Pecten maximus
Lineage: Eukaryota; Metazoa; Mollusca; Bivalvia; Pectinida; Pectinidae
Exons: 2
Source: RefSeq, a predicted model, not a curated record